RNAcentral lists this ribosomal RNA (253 nucleotides) under uncultured bacterium. RNAcentral's name for it is "partial 16S ribosomal RNA". It matches the Rfam family "Bacterial small subunit ribosomal RNA", at positions 524 to 776 of the family's 1533-position model. The record is from RNAcentral.
CACGUAGGGCGCAAGCGUUGUCCGGAAUUAUUGGGCGUAAAGAGCGUGUAGGCGGCCAGGUAGGUCUGCUGUGAAAACUCGAGGCUCAACCUCGAGACGUCGGCGGAAACCAUCUGGCUAGAGUCCGGAAGAGGAGAGUGGAAUUCCUGGUGUAGCGGUGAAAUGCGCAGAUAUCAGGAAGAACACCAAUAGCGAAGGCAGCUCGCUGGGACGGUACUGACGCUGAGACGCGAAAGCGUGGGGAGCAAACAGG